Molecule: ribosomal RNA, 650 nt
Filed under: Ravinia pusiola
Lineage: Eukaryota; Metazoa; Arthropoda; Insecta; Diptera; Sarcophagidae
Description: eukaryotic LSU rRNA
Rfam family: Eukaryotic large subunit ribosomal RNA
Source: RNAcentral
GCAAGUUAUUGGGUAUCAAAACCUAAUAGCGAAAUUAACAUAACUUUUAUGGGAUUAGUUUUUAGAUUAUUUAUAGUCUAUUAAUUCAAUCCCGGGGCGUUCUAUAUAGUUAUGUAUAAUAAUAUUUAUAUUAUUUAUACCUCUAACUAGAGCGUACCUUGAGCAUAUAUGCUGUGACCCGAAAGAUGGUGAACUAUACUUGAUCAGGUUGAAGUCAGGGGAAACCCUGAUGGAAGACCGAAACAGUUCUGACGUGCAAAUCGAUUGUCAGAAUUGAGUAUAGGGGCGAAAGACCAAUCGAACCAUCUAGUAGCUGGUUCCCUCCGAAGUUUCCCUCAGGAUAGCUGGUGCAUUUAAAUAUUAUGUAAAAUAAUCUUAUCUGGUAAAGCGAAUGAUUAGAGGCCUUAGGGUCGAAACGACCUUAACCUAUUCUCAAACUUUAAAUGGGUAAGAACCUCACCUUUCUUGGUAUGAAGGUUGUGGUUGUGAUAUAAUGUGCCCAGUGGGCCACUUUUGGUAAGCAGAACUGGCGCUGUGGGAUGAACCAAACGUAAUGUUACGGUGCCCAAAUUAACAACUCAUGCAGAUACCAUGAAAGGCGUUGGUUGCUUAAAACAGCAGGACGGUGGACAUGGAAGUCGUAAUCCGCU